UACUUCUCUUUUUUUGUCACGUUU
RNAcentral lists this small nuclear RNA (24 nucleotides) under Arabidopsis thaliana (thale cress). RNAcentral describes it as "snRNA_03431". Lineage: Eukaryota; Viridiplantae; Streptophyta; Magnoliopsida; Brassicales; Brassicaceae. The record is from RNAcentral.